CGCGGGGUGGAGCAGUUGGCAGCUCGUCGGGCUCAUAACCCGAAGGUCGCAGGUUCAAGUCCUGCCCCCGCAACCA
This 76-nucleotide transfer RNA is filed under the name Helicobacter pylori. Its description in RNAcentral is "tRNA-Met". It matches the Rfam family "tRNA". Rfam says of the family: Transfer RNA (tRNA) molecules are approximately 80 nucleotides in length. Their secondary structure includes four short double-helical elements and three loops (D, anti-codon, and T loops). The record is from RNAcentral. Lineage: Bacteria; Pseudomonadati; Campylobacterota; Epsilonproteobacteria; Campylobacterales; Helicobacteraceae. RNAcentral also lists the same sequence under 216 other names.